GAUGCAUUGGUGUUAAUGGCUAGCAUACAAGUCUGUGGAGCUUGUGGAAAGGGUUCAAAUCCCUUAUGUGUCC
Molecule: transfer RNA, 73 nt
Filed under: Methanobrevibacter ruminantium M1
Lineage: Archaea; Methanobacteriati; Methanobacteriota; Methanobacteria; Methanobacteriales; Methanobacteriaceae
Rfam family: tRNA
About the family: Transfer RNA (tRNA) molecules are approximately 80 nucleotides in length. Their secondary structure includes four short double-helical elements and three loops (D, anti-codon, and T loops). Further hydrogen bonds mediate the characteristic L-shaped molecular structure. tRNAs have two regions of fundamental functional importance: the anti-codon, which is responsible for specific mRNA codon recognition, and the 3' end, to which the tRNAs corresponding amino acid is attached (by aminoacyl-tRNA synthetases). tRNAs cope with the degeneracy of the genetic code in two manners: having more than one tRNA (with a specific anti-codon) for a particular amino acid; and 'wobble' base-pairing, i.e. permitting non-standard base-pairing at the 3rd anti-codon position.
Source: Rfam by way of RNAcentral